This 91-nucleotide small RNA is filed under the name Eubacterium sp. AF36-5BH. Its description in RNAcentral is "GA-cis RNA". It matches the Rfam family "GA-cis RNA". Lineage: Bacteria; Bacillati; Bacillota; Clostridia; Eubacteriales; Eubacteriaceae. The record is from Rfam by way of RNAcentral.
AAUAGGAGAAAACAAAAUGAACGAAGUUCAUUUUCUAGGAAUUUUUUCGACGAAAUGCCGCCGACUGAAAGGAGAAAUGAUUAUGGCAAGU